GCUUAAUGAGCCCAUCGAGCUUAACAACUGAGCCGAGUUUGGCAUGUCCAAGCUCGAGCUCGACUCGUUAAGCUAAACGAGCUUGAGGAUUGGGUUUGGACUCGCGAGUCCGUCAAGUCGGGCUUUAUCUAACACCCUAGACACGACUAAUUUUUUCGUCGACACGACACGAACACGACUCGUGUUAAAAAAAUUUAACACAAACACGACGCAACUGAAUC
This 221-nucleotide long non-coding RNA is filed under the name Zostera marina. RNAcentral's name for it is "long non-coding RNA (ZMAR_LNC002693)". The record is from RNAcentral. Lineage: Eukaryota; Viridiplantae; Streptophyta; Magnoliopsida; Alismatales; Zosteraceae.